RNAcentral lists this long non-coding RNA (312 nucleotides) under Salvator merianae (Argentine black and white tegu). Its description in RNAcentral is "lncRNA (ENSSMRG00000022683.1)". Lineage: Eukaryota; Metazoa; Chordata; Lepidosauria; Squamata; Teiidae. The record is from RNAcentral.
GAUGCACCCUGAGGCAAACUUACAACCCUCGAACUCGGGCAGCCUUUUACUUCAGUGACACUGGAACAUUUUCCAGGCCGUGUCUGCAAGCUCCUGAACAAUCCUUUUUCUUCUGUGUUUACUGGGGGGGAAAAAAAGCAAUCAGUCUAGUCAGCAGCAGAAGUUGUGAAAAGAAAGAGAAGUUUCCGAGUAUGUCCAGAUAGAAUUCUGUGUAAGCACUGCUUGGAAUAUAGUUUCUAUACGUAUAUAAUGGAUCUGACCUGAAGGAGAUUCAUGAAGUUAUGNUUAUAUGUGGAUAAAAUUGAGGUCCAU